This is a non-coding RNA of Rhodocollybia butyracea, 92 nucleotides long. Lineage: Eukaryota; Fungi; Basidiomycota; Agaricomycetes; Agaricales; Omphalotaceae. The record is from the annotation of a GenBank genome assembly.
GCCCUUAUAGUCUAGCGGUAUAGGACUUCAGUCCUAUAGGCGCCCAUGUACCUCUGACUGAGGAGGCGUGGGUUCAAAUCCCACUAAGGGUA